AAUCCAUGGUGAGGGCACCUUCGCAAUAGAUCCAUGUAUCUCUCCCAUGCAUCGCAAUAGUCCAUCUGCAAAAAAGAAGAGAUAUCAUUACGUAACU
Molecule: non-coding RNA, 97 nt
Organism: Gossypium hirsutum (cotton)
Lineage: Eukaryota; Viridiplantae; Streptophyta; Magnoliopsida; Malvales; Malvaceae
Source: Rfam